Long non-coding RNA from Acipenser ruthenus (sterlet), 668 nucleotides. RefSeq lists it as uncharacterized. The record is from RefSeq and is a predicted model, not a curated record. NCBI's taxonomy places the organism in Eukaryota, Metazoa, Chordata, Actinopteri, Acipenseriformes, Acipenseridae. The transcript is spliced from 3 exons.
AUUCCGUGUGCACUGUUCUGCUUGUUAGCACACUACAGUGCACUCGUUAGGAACACAACGAUACGACUUUUAUGAAUUUAUACUGGCUUCUUCUAGAAGUAUGAUGGCAUAUUUGGGAAGGAGAGCAGCUACGUUCCACUGCAUCUCUAUUUAAAGCAACAUUUGGCAAAGGGUUAGCAGUUGUUGUACCAUAACUUUAUAAUCGGACAACUAAACGAGGGAAGCAAUGGGCAACUCAGGUCAAAUGAAUGCUUCACGAUUAGUUAUGCCAGUCCUUCUCAUGGUUGGUUGGAUUGUGGGAUGUGCAGUGGUGGUCUACUUUGUCUUUACUUAAGUAGACAUGAAGACACUGAAAUAGUAGCAGAAGAACACACCAUCUUUAAAAUAUUUUAAUAGGCUAAAACAAAAAGUCGAUUUGCAAAUCGGAAUGCUACGUUAACCAGUGUUUCCAUUUUUGUUACCGUAUUGUAAGACCACGCAAGCACACCUAUAUUGCUGCCAGUGACGAAUUAUGAAGAGGCAUGUAGCUUGCGAAUGCUUUUACAAAGUUGUUAAUACAUUUUAAGUCAAAUGUAUUUCUUGCAUGAUUGGAUUUGUUAUAAGUGACAAUUAGAUUAUACAAAACAAUAAAUUAUUUAUUUAAAAAAAAAAAAAAUUAAAUGUAAUUG